This 2123-nucleotide long non-coding RNA is filed under the name Hermetia illucens (black soldier fly). Its description in RNAcentral is "uncharacterized LOC119656240". Lineage: Eukaryota; Metazoa; Arthropoda; Insecta; Diptera; Stratiomyidae. The record is from RNAcentral.
AAACGAUCGAGCUUGUCGUCUAUUUGUAUUGGUUUUGCCAUAUGGAGUUAAUUUUAAGGAUCAAUGUUUCACAUUUCAGAUUCAAAAUUUAGCGGAAAAUAUAAAUAAUGUACACACUAGGUGUUUUUAUCAAAAUUCAUGUUUGCCUACAGAAUCAUCUAUCUUGUUCCUUCCUCCUUUGAACUCGCUACUUUUUUGUAGGCAGUUCAGCAUGUGUAGAAUACAUUCAGAAAACCUAUUCCAAACCGUGCACGAAACAAGAUUGCUUCUCAUCUACAUAUAAUGGGGUUUAUGGCAGACAAAACAUUAACAACACUACAGAACUCUCAUCAGGUUUGCAUUUUCUUUUUGAAAGACGAAUUUUAUUAGCUGACAGUAAUUACUAGACGAUGGAUGCAGAUUGACCUACAUGUUUUGGUGUUCUCCUAUCCACCAAUUUCAAUAGCACUAUAGCUAUAAGAAACGAAUAUUCAUCGGUGCUUGAUGCGUCAUUGGUGACCACAGACUGGCUAUGGUUGGUACGCAAAUAAGAGUGAUCAAUGAACUUAUUAUCGUGAUUCCACUGUAUUGGGAAUUGCAAGCUUAGUUCGUAAUUAUCGGGAUUCUACUCUCAGCUUGCUCAGCUAUGCAACAUUUUGAAGUGGUAACAAAGCAUUUUUCUUCAAAUUUAAUCAGUAUAGUUCGCGAAAGCAGUCUUUAUGCAAAAUUUAUACUUUUUUUCAGACAAAUCUAAGUCAAUGUAUAAAGCUGGUGCCUAGUGAUGAUUUAAAGGUGACUGCUAAUCACUAGCUGAAGUUUUUGUAGGCAUAUCUGGCAGAAAGCUCCUUCAGUCACGUUUUCAGUUAGCAAAAUUGAAUGAAGUCUGAAGUCUUCUACAAAGUCCAUCUGGCGCAGGCAACGUUGUAUUACUUAUAGGGUGCAUUGGCAACUUCACAUAUCGUAGAAGCCAAAAAGCCUAGCCCCGGAAAAAUUCACUGCGAUUUUUACGAACUUCGUCCAAUUUUUUAUCAAAUAACCUACUUAUAUUACUGAUUUUCCUUUGCAAUUCUUCUUUUGACUAAUGACCCCGAACCGGAACAUGUCAAAAUAGCCUGUGUGCUCUCGGGGAGCACAGCCCCAAAAGCUGUAGCAACUUAAUGCUGACUUCAUCUCGCACAGCAAUUGACUUAGUGCACGAUCACCUAGCGUUAGCUCCGUCAGCAAGUGGUUAAGUUUAACCGUCUCACUCACUGGCAGGCGCUACUCUUUUAGUCUUUUGUAAGAGCAGUCCACCAGAACGUCUUAGUCAAGCUCCAUUGUCUCCUCAUCUAGCCGACCAGCACGUGUGUGAAGCGCAGGCGUCCGUUGUGACGCAGGCCAAAACGAAUUGGCCCGCUGCUGUAUGGCCAUGUCAGUUACCGAGGGACCCGCCUCUAUUCUGCUGGACAUCGAGAGCGGAAGCGAACAACCGACAAGAGAUCAAGUAGUGACAAAAUGGAAUCAAUAUCUGUCUGUCUACCACACUCGAUUUUCGGCAACGGCUAGACCGGGGACCACCUGCUAUAUGUAAAUGGAUUGACAAACCACCGAUUCUCGCAAAUCUCAUGAUAAUAGAUCAAGUCGUUUUCGAAUAAAUUGGGUGUGGCAGACAGAGAGACAGACAUCAAAUCGAUUCUUAUUAGAAAACCUUACAAACUUUCACUCUUGUAUCUCUAAUGUGUAUUUGAACGGCAACGAUUCAAUUUCAAAAGUUGAAAGCGACGCAAAAGCUCGGCGACUUCUUCGUUUCUACUAACUGAAAGCCACAAAUACUUCGAAUGUAGUUUGUUCCAACUGACUUACACAAUGGCGAAGAUGUGCCCGGCCGUCUCACUGUUCUAUUCAUUAACAUAAUCGACUAAGCACGACAUUAGUAGUCACCUUUAUUUAUUUUGGACGGCGGCGAUUUCUUCGUUAAGGUCACCACUUGUUAAUUUUGAUGAUUUUUCUAUUACACUCAGUUUGCAAUAUUUUCAGGCUUGUUUCUCACUUCAAAUAAGUAAUUAUUAAUCCAACCUAAAUGUCUUAAAACAUAAAUGCUAAUCAAAAUGAUAAAUGUUGCUGAAAAGAAAAUAAGAAAAAUAUAUUGAACCAACAGAAAAAUA